AUACACACACACUGCAUUUAUACACACACACACACACACACACACUGCAUUCAUACACACACACUGCAUUUAUACACACACACACACACACUGCAUUCAUACACACACACUGCAUUAUAUACACACACACACACUGCAUUCAUUAUAUACACACACUGUAAAUAAAUAUUCAAUUAAUAUAAUUUUCGGGGGAUAUAAUUUUAUUUAGAAAUUUACCAGUAGCUGCUGCAUUUCCCACCCUAGUCUUAUACUCGAGUCAAUAAGUUUUCCCAGUUUUUUGGGUUAAAAUUAGGGGUCUCGACUUAUAUUCAGGUCGACUUAUACUCGAUUAUACACAGUAAGUGAAUAUACGAGCAUGGAGAGAUAAUUAAGGGCAGUUGGGAAUUGAAAACAGAGUGUGCAAACACAUCUAUACAUUAAAUACCCACAUAUGUCACACAAAAUGUUCCUUCAUGCACACAUUGGCACUCUAUAACAAGACACCACUAAAUUCACAUACUGGCACUCUAAACAAAUACACCCGUCAUUUACAUGCACUCACUACCCCUUCACAUAAAUUUGCUCUUACAUACACAUUGACAUUCAGCAACCAAACCAACCACAUACUCUGAACUCAUCAGAUUCUCUAUCCACCCAGUCACAUAGUCCCAUCUUACCUCCCAGUCAUUCCCUGUCACAUUAAAAGAACACUAUAGUGUCAGGAAUACAAACAUGUAUUCCUGACACUAUAGUGUUUAACUACUUAAGUCUCUGGCCCCCGUUAAAUCAUUGAAAAUGUCUUUAAACGCAACCUUUUCUCCCAUUGAAUCAAUGCAUCUCUAUGAGUAAUGACAGGCUAUAGACACCAGAACCACUAUAUUAAGCUAUAAUGGUUCUGGUGACUAAAGUGUCAUUUUAAUACAUUUAGCCACAAAAAAUUUCACGUACACCCACCCACCCUGGACUUAUUGCAAUCCAACCACCCACCUAGUCAUAUUCACCAUACAGUCAUACACCUAACUAGUCACAUUCUUCCAUCCAAUUGCAUACUCCAAACUAGUCACAUUAUUCCAUCCAAUUUCAUACCCCAAACUAGUCAGAUUAUUCCAUCCAAUUGCAUACCCCAAACUAGUAAUUUUAUUGCAUCCAAUUUCAUACCCCAAACUAGUCAUAUUAUUCCAUCCAAUUGCAUAACUCAAACUAGACACAUUCAUCCAUCCAAUUAUACACACCAGGCUUCAUCCUAAAAGAAAAUCGGCCCUGGAUAGAUGUGUGGAUUUCUACAUUUCAUUUUAUGUUUCAGACCUCACAAUUACAUACAUUCAAAAUAUAGGUGAUGCAUGAACACAAAUUUAAAGAUCCACGGACUACUACGUCAGCAGAGCUACCGUCUUAACGCAUGGGCAUGCUGGGCAGUUUCCCUGGGGGCGCAACGAGCAUAGGGGACCCAUAGGCUUGUCAACGUUUCAGUAUAUUAUUCCAGGAGAUUUAUUCAGAACCUUCAAACCCUCUUCAUUAAAAAACGUUUAGGUGGACUAAUCAUUUCAGUAUCAGCUGUUAUCUUUACAUAAAUAAUUCAUAGUAAUUUAGUACUGUGUCAUAUCCGUCGUAUGAUUUACCAACUGAGUACCAUUUUUAUGUUGAAUUUCUUGUUUUUCAAAUUUAAGGCACAUGUUGUAUUUUCCAAUGAUUUUUGUGGAUUAAUCUCUGCUGUACAGCAUCUUUUUUAAUGUUUAAACACGGAUUUUGUUGGUGGUACCAAUAAAUAGAUACAUUUUAUCGAUAUUUUACAUUUAUAUUCCUGUGAGUGCUUGUGUAGGCCCCAG
This 1805-nucleotide long non-coding RNA is filed under the name Pelobates cultripes (western spadefoot toad). Lineage: Eukaryota; Metazoa; Chordata; Amphibia; Anura; Pelobatidae. The record is from RNAcentral.